RNAcentral lists this ribosomal RNA (250 nucleotides) under uncultured bacterium. RNAcentral's name for it is "partial 16S ribosomal RNA". It matches the Rfam family "Bacterial small subunit ribosomal RNA", at positions 791 to 1035 of the family's 1533-position model. The record is from RNAcentral.
UAGUCCACGCAGUAAACGAUGAAUACUUGAUGUAGGAGGUAUCGACCCCUUCUGUGUCGAAGUUAACGUAUUAAGUAUUCCACCUGGGGAGUACGACCGCAAGGUUGAAACUCAAAGGAAUUGACGGGGACCCGCACAAGCAGUGGAGUAUGUGGUUUAAUUCGAGGCAACGCGAAGAACCUUACCAAGGCUUGACAUCAUUUUGAAGAUUGCUAGAGAUAGCGACCCUUCCCUUCGGGGACAGAAUGAC